This 253-nucleotide ribosomal RNA is filed under the name uncultured bacterium. RNAcentral describes it as "partial 16S ribosomal RNA". It matches the Rfam family "Bacterial small subunit ribosomal RNA", at positions 524 to 776 of the family's 1533-position model. The record is from RNAcentral.
GACGUAGGGGGCGAGCGUUGUCCGGAUUUAUUGGGCGUAAAGCGUGCGUAGGCGGCUGCGCAAGUCGGUUGUGAAACCCCGGGGCUCAACCCCGGAACUGCAUCCGAUACUGCGUGGCUAGAGGUAGGUAGGGGAGAUCGGAAUUCCUGGUGUAGCGGUGAAAUGCGCAGAUAUCAGGAGGAACACCGGUGGCGAAGGCGGUUCUCUGGGCAUGUUCUGACGCUGAGGAGCGAAAGUGUGGGGAGCGAACAGG